GCUGCCCCUUCUAAUGAUGAAUUACAAACUCAGGUUAAUAAAUAUUUUAUCAAUUACUUGGUUUGUUUCUUUUAUGAUUAACUUGUUAGGUAUCAUUUUUUUUUAAUACUUUCAUUUGUUAAAAUCUUCAUUGAUAUCACAAGUCAAUGAUAUGAAAGAAAUGAUAGCAUUCAUGUUGCAAAAUUAUCAAGGUCAAUUGCCUUCAAAGUUUGCAGCAUUUCAACCCUCGGUAAUAAUUACUAAAUUUAUUUGUAUGAUUUUUUUUUAAAUAUAUAACCAACUAACUAUUAUGUUAUAUUGUAGGUAUCUGAUCAAGGAAGCGUGCCAAACGAUGAAUAUAAUGAAGUUGAAGAAAAUUAGACAUGUAUGAACAAUUAAGUAUGUCUGGAUUGAUAUCUGUUGUCAAUCAUGAACCUUUCUCAACUUUCUUUUCUUUUUUCUUCUGUUUGGAUAAAAGGAGAAUCAAGCAGCUCAUAGAGGACUUAUGAAGAAUAAGCUUUUCUUCCUUUUCUUUUUCCUGUUUUCUCUGUUAAUGAACAAUCUGAAUACUAUCAAUUUCUGAAUUCUGUUUCAAACAUUUUUUUUCUCAAUUUUGGUGCUGUUUUUAUUCUUAUUUCUAUUUUGUUUCAUUGUGUUACUGUGCUGUACAUAAAUCUGAAUAUCUGUGUUGUUUAGGAGCCUUUCUUACUCACACAUUGAGGACAAUGUGCCUCUUAAGUGUGGGGUGAGAAGGUAUAGAUUUAAAUACUUGUUUUUACUCUAAUAUGCAUCUGAUAGUAUGUUUUUUUUUUUUGUAGUUAAAAUAGGACUAAAAUUUUUUUCAGUUUCUUUUCUUAGUUGCUUUUAGCAUUGUUUCAGUUUCUAAAUACUUACUUCUAGUUUGUAAAUACUUAGUUUUUGAUGCUUUCAUAAUCUGUUUUAGGCAGUAGACUAGGCUUUAUUCAUAGUUGCUUGUAUAAUUUUUCUCUUUGAUCCUAUUUCACUCAUUAGACUCUUUAAGUUUUGUUUCAGUUUCAUUUUCAUGCACUAGGUUCGGUUUCAUUUUCAUUGUUUUAGGUAAAUUCUCAUUUUCAAGUUCUGUUUUAACUGUUUACAUUUGCAUUUGUUUCAGAAUUCUUUCUUCAACUCUGACUCACUUUCUUUUUCUCCCUUUUCUGUUUGCAGUCUUUUAUGUGUCCUUCAGGAAUUAAUGACUUUCCUAUGACAACUAUUGACCAUAUCAAGGUACGUUCAUGUGAAGUUAUAGGUGGGAGUUUUUUAUUCAGUUCCGUGAAGUUUUUUAAAUUUCUUUGCUCACCCAUUUCUGCUUUCAUAUAAACGCAACAAAACACACUGUGAUGGGGUAAUGUUGUACACUAAGGAGCACAUAUUCAUAUUGUCCACUUGUCUGAUUCAAGUGCUUCCUUAGAUCUGAUUAAGGUACUCUAUCAUUGAGUUGCUUGGUUAAAAUUAAAUAUGAAGUAUACCAAUUGACUAGAUUGCUAAUAUUAUACAUUUAUAAUGUACAGGAAGCAAAAAGUCGAGGUGAUAGCAUAAACGUUGAGACUUGUCCUCACUACCUGGCUUUCACCUCUAAAGAGAUACCAAAUGGAGGUACUCGUUUUAAGUGUUCCCCACCCAUUCGUGAUGCACAAAACAAAGACAAAUUAUGGGAGGCUGUAUUGGUAUGCUUCCUCUCCAUAAAUACCUAGUAUUGUCUCACUUUAAUCAUUUAUGAUCUCAUCGUUUUUUUUUUUUUUUGUUUGUUUUACUCUGCAUUCCAUGAGCGAACCAAGCAUAUUGAGCUGGAUUGCCACGUGGUCCGUGAGAAGAUUCAAGCGAAGUUUUUACAUCUUCUCCCCAUUCGAUCGGAAAAACAGCUUGCGGAUGUGUUCACUAAAUUUCCUCACCAAACUCAUUUUAGAUCUAUCAUCCCCAAGCUUGGAUUAGUGAGUAUCCACCAUCUAGCUUGAGGGGAGCGUAUUAAUGUUUCUGUUAUUGGGUUUAAUGCUCCUAAGAGCUAUUUUGUCUUUUAGUGUUUUAAAUUAGGGGUUAUUUGUUUUCAGUUAGAGAUUCUAACUGUUAGGAUUGUGCUCAUCGGAGCCCUAUAUAUAAGGUUUCCAGUGUGUGGUUUCGUGUAACUCAGAAUAAACAAUAAUACAGUUUUUCUUUUCGUUCAAUGACAGAGAUAUUGAGAGUUUUUCUUACCUCCGCUUCUUCAGUUACCAUCUGACUCUCUUCCGGUCCACUGUCGCCGCUGCAAGCUUCAUCGGAGGUGUCUCCCGCGUUCGCCCUCUUUCUCUUCUCACUCUUCCCAGCCACUCGUGAUGCAAAGGUUCACCUACUUUCUGAUUGGAGGAAGCUUCUAGUGAAGCUUUGGUCUUUCGACACUAGCAGAAAAUAUAUUUUUUAUAGCAAUUUUUUAUACCUGUUAAAAUUCACCAGGUAUAAAAAGUGACGCAAUGGUAAUUUCGUAAAUAAAAGAAAUUUUUCUACAUAAGUUAUAAUAAAAUCAGGUAUAAAAAAUAAUGUAUUAGCAAAAUUGUAAAUAAUCCAAAUACGUUUAUACCGGUUGCAUUGAGAAUAGGUAUAGAAAAUCCUUUAUUUUAUACCUGUUAAUCUUCAAGAGGUAUGAAUUACUUUAGUCUUUUUCCCUCCCGCACAGCUUACAGCUCGCAGCUCUUCUUUUUCGUUCUCCCUCUCUUGUUCUCCCUCCUUCCUGUUGGUUCCACAACAGAUAUAAAAGAAUUUCACUUUUACACCUAACAUUCUGAUAACCGGUAUAAAAAAAAUAAGACUUUUUAUACCUGUUGUGCUUUAACAGGUAUAAAAGUGACGUUUUGUUUUUUAAUAUUUGAUUUAUUUGUACUACUAUCGUACAUAAAAUUCAAUUCCAUAAUACAAUCUAAAUAAUCAAUAACAAGCAAAAUAAUCAAUGUUGUUUCUAUUAAUACAUUAAAAUAUAAUACUUCCUUAACAAAGUUUCUAAAUAUAUAUAUUGGUGUCUUACAAUAAAUAACGUUUUUCUUUUUAAAACAAUUAGUCUAAUUUUAAAAAAAAAUAAUAAUUUUUUAAUAAAAUAUUUCAAAAAAGAUUUUAAAAUAUAUAAAAUAUCGGUUUUAUUAUAUACAAACUCGUGCUAUAUGUUUCCUAAAAAAUGGAAAGCAAAAAGGAAACUUGAAUAGAAGUAAAGAUAGACCAUAUGUUACAUUUAUAAAUCAAACAAGAAAUGAUCAUUACAGGGCUCACUUGUUUUCCUCAGCAAUAUGCUUCUGUGCUUUUCUCACUUGGUCCUACAAGAAAUAUGGUAUUAUUAAAAUAUAUCACUAAAUGCAUUAGCAAAUUGAAGGACGAGAUAUAAAAAACAAUAGUGAAACGGGAAAAAAGAAAAAUGCCUGCAAAUAUAUUCUACAUAUAUAUAAUACCUGAAGUCGGGCUAUCUUUGUUUUGAUGUCAGCUUUCUUGGCAGCAGGAAUUGA
RNAcentral lists this long non-coding RNA (3458 nucleotides) under Vigna radiata. RNAcentral's name for it is "long non-coding RNA (VRAD_LNC011428)". Lineage: Eukaryota; Viridiplantae; Streptophyta; Magnoliopsida; Fabales; Fabaceae. The record is from RNAcentral.